GGGGCUUCGGCCCCAAUUGAGUGGCAAACGGGUGAGUAACGCGUGGGUGACCUACCUUCGAGUGGGGGAUAACGUCUCGAAAGGGACGCUAAUACCGCAUGACAUCCUGCCUUUGGACAGGCGGAGAUCAAAGCUGGGGAUCGCAAGACCUGGCGCUUGGAGAGGGGCCCGCGUCCGAUUAGCUAGUUGGUGAGGUAAUGGCUCACCAAGGCUUCGAUCGGUAGCCGGCCUGAGAGGGCGGACGGCCACACUGGGACUGAGACACGGCCCAGACUCCUACGGGAGGCAGCAGUGGGGAAUUGUUCGCAAUGGGCGCAAGCCUGACGACGCAACGCCGCGUGGAGGAUGAAGGUCUUCGGAUUGUAAACUCCUGUUGAUCGGGACGAACAUCCAUCGGGUUAAUAACCCGGAGGACUGACGGUACCGGUUGAGGAAGCCCCGGCUAACUCUGUGCCAGCAGCCGCGGUAAUACAGAGGGGGCAAGCGUUGUUCGGAAUUACUGGGCGUAAAGGGCGCGUAGGCGGCCACCUAAGUCAGACGUGAAAUCCCUCGGCUCAACCGGGGAACUGCGUCUGAUACUGGGUGGCUUGAAUUCGGGAGAGGAAUGCGGAAUUCCAGGUGUAGCGGUGAAAUGCGUAGAUAUCUGGAGGAACACCGGUGGCGAAGGCGGCAUUCUGGACCGACAUUGACGCUGAGGCGCGAAAGCCAGGGGAGCAAACGGGAUUAGAUACCCCGGUAGUCCUGGCCCUAAACGAUGAAUGCUUGGUGUGGCGGGUAUCGAUCCCUGCCGUG
RNAcentral lists this ribosomal RNA (792 nucleotides) under uncultured Acidobacteriota bacterium. RNAcentral's name for it is "bacterial SSU rRNA". It matches the Rfam family "Bacterial small subunit ribosomal RNA", at positions 74 to 845 of the family's 1533-position model. The record is from RNAcentral. Lineage: Bacteria; Pseudomonadati; Acidobacteriota.